RNAcentral lists this ribosomal RNA (156 nucleotides) under Gregarithecium curvisporum. RNAcentral's name for it is "5.8S rRNA". It matches the Rfam family "5.8S ribosomal RNA". Rfam says of the family: 5.8S ribosomal RNA (5.8S rRNA) is a component of the large subunit of the eukaryotic ribosome. It is transcribed by RNA polymerase I as part of the 45S precursor that also contains 18S and 28S rRNA. Functionally, it is thought that 5.8S rRNA may be involved in ribosome translocation. Lineage: Eukaryota; Fungi; Ascomycota; Dothideomycetes; Pleosporales; Dictyosporiaceae. The record is from RNAcentral.
AACUUUCAACAAUGGAUCUCUUGGUUCUGGCAUCGAUGAAGAACGCAGCGAAAUGCGAUAAGUAGUGUGAAUUGCAGACUUUAGUGAAUCAUCGAAUUUUUGAACGCACAUUGCGCCCCUUGGUAUUCCAUUGGGCAUGCCUGUUCGAGCGUCAUU